RNAcentral lists this ribosomal RNA (292 nucleotides) under uncultured bacterium. RNAcentral describes it as "partial 16S ribosomal RNA". It matches the Rfam family "Bacterial small subunit ribosomal RNA", at positions 1 to 324 of the family's 1533-position model. The record is from RNAcentral.
UAGUGAGUUUGAUCCUGGCUCAGGACGAACGCUGGCGGCGUGCUUAACACAUGCAAGUCGAACGGAGACCUUCGGGUCUUAGUGGCGGACGGGUGAGUAACGCGUGAGAAUCUGCCCUCAGGAUGGGGACAACGACUGGAAACGGUCGCUAAUACCCGAUGUGCCGCAAGGUGAAAGAUUUAUCGUCUGAGGAAGAGCUCGCGUCUGAUUAGCUAGUUGGUGGGGUAAGAGCCUACCAAGGCGACGAUCAGUAGCUGGUCUGAGAGGAUGAUCAGCCACACUGGGACUGAGA